RNAcentral lists this small RNA (1057 nucleotides) under Pan troglodytes (chimpanzee). Its description in RNAcentral is "retained intron". The record is from RNAcentral. Lineage: Eukaryota; Metazoa; Chordata; Mammalia; Primates; Hominidae.
AGACAGCCACAGAGCUCCUGGCGUGGGCAAGGCUGGCCAAGGAUGGCGACGCCCAGGGGCCUGGGGGCCCUGCUCCUGCUCCUCCUGCUCCUGACCUCAGGUCAGGAAAAGCCCACCGAAGGGCCAAGAAACACCUGCCUGGGGAGCAACAACAUGUACGACAUCUUCAACUUGAAUGACAAGGCUUUGUGCUUCACCAAGUGCAGGCAGUCGGGCAGCAACUCCUGCAAUGUGGAAAACUUGCAGAGAUACUGGCUAAACUAUGAGGCCCAUCUGAUGAAGGAAGGUUUGACGCAGAAGGUGAACACACCUUUCCUGAAGGCUUUGGUUCAGAACCUCAGCACCAACACCGCAGAAGACUUCUACUUCUCUCUGGAGCCCUCUCAGGUUCCGAGGCAGGUGAUGAAGGACGAGGACAAGCCCCCUGACAGAGUGCGACUUCCCAAGAGCCUUUUUCGAUCCCUGACAGGCAACAGGUCUGUGGUCAGCUUGGCCAUCACCAUUCUGGACAUUGGUCCAGGGACUCUCUUCAAGGUGAGGACUCAGGGAAGCUCCAAGGUUAAGUGCUAGGUCCUCUGGGGGCUCCAUGCCACAGCUUGCUGUCACUGGAGCCUGCCGAGGGAUCCAAUGGGGACAGAGCAGGCAGUGAGCCUCUUAGUGUUUCUAAUGCAGCCCGUGGCCAUCUCAGACACCUGUCACUAGAGUCUAUGGUCUUCAGACUCACACUGGUCACACGCUCUCAGAUGUUUGACCCCCACACAUGAGUGCCCUUUGGCUUGUCUAUGUGUCCUGGGGGUGCUUGUGUGCUCUGUGUGUCCUCGUGCAUGCACAAACAUGCACAUCCUUUUCUAUUCUUGUGCACGCACAAGCCCAUGUACUCAGCUGUGAUCAUAUCCACACGAGCAAGUGUACCCAUGCCCUUGCACAUGUGUAUACCAGGUAUGUGCACCCAGAGUUGUGCAUCCACUCCUGUGCAGACGUGUGUACCUCUGAGGGCUAGUGUGCUCCCCCCACCAGCCCCCUUUCUACCGAAUGCACACUCAUGCUAAGACCCUCA